UACGAACUGUGCGAACGUUAUUCGGAUUCACUGGGCGUAAAGGGUGCGCAGGCGGCCAAGUGUGUUAGGCGUGAAAGCCCGGGGCUUAACCCCGGAAUUGCACCUAAAACUACAUGGCUAGAGCAUUGGAGAGGGUAGCGGAAUUCACGGUGUAGCAGUGAAAUGCGUAGAUAUCGUGAGGAACACCAGAGGCGAAGGCGGCGACCUGGACAGGUACUGACACUCAACUACGAAAGCGUGGGGAGCAAACAGG
RNAcentral lists this ribosomal RNA (253 nucleotides) under uncultured bacterium. RNAcentral's name for it is "partial 16S ribosomal RNA". It matches the Rfam family "Bacterial small subunit ribosomal RNA", at positions 524 to 776 of the family's 1533-position model. The record is from RNAcentral.